GGAGAGGUGACCGAGUGGCUGAAGGUGCACGACUGGAAAUCGUGUGUACUGCAAGGUACCGCGGGUUCGAAUCCCGCCCUCUCCGCCA
This 88-nucleotide transfer RNA is filed under the name Myxococcota bacterium. RNAcentral describes it as "tRNA-Ser". It matches the Rfam family "tRNA". From Rfam's summary of the family: Transfer RNA (tRNA) molecules are approximately 80 nucleotides in length. Their secondary structure includes four short double-helical elements and three loops (D, anti-codon, and T loops). The record is from RNAcentral. Lineage: Bacteria; Pseudomonadati; Myxococcota.